This 508-nucleotide ribosomal RNA is filed under the name uncultured bacterium. RNAcentral's name for it is "bacterial SSU rRNA". It matches the Rfam family "Bacterial small subunit ribosomal RNA", at positions 903 to 1397 of the family's 1533-position model. The record is from RNAcentral.
AAAGGAAUAGACGGGGGCCCGCACAAGCAGCGGAGCAUGUGGUUUAAUUCGAAGCAACGCGAAGAACCUUACCGGGGCUUGACAUCCCUUUGGAGCGUAUAGAGAUAUAUGCGACUUAUGUCGUAAGACAUAAGACAGGGGAGACAGGUGGUGCAUGGUUGUCGUCAGCUCGUGUCGUGAGAUGUUGGGUUAAGUCCCGCAACGAGCGCAACCCCUAUCUUUAGUUGCCAGCACGUUAUGGUGGGGACUCUAAAGAGACUGCCGGGGAUAACUCGGAGGAAGGUGGGGACGACGUCAAAUCAUCAUGCCCCUUAUGUCCCGGGCUACACACGUGCUACAAUGGCCGGUAACAGAGGGUAGCCAAGCGGUAACGCUGCGCCAAUCCCAUAAAACCGGUCCCAGUUCGGAUUGUGGGCUGCAACUCGCCCACAUGAAGUCGGAGUUGCUAGUAAUCGCGAAUCAGCAUGUCGCGGUGAAUGCGUUCCCGGGCCUUGUACACACCGCCCGU